Molecule: ribosomal RNA, 468 nt
Filed under: uncultured bacterium
Lineage: Bacteria
Description: partial 16S ribosomal RNA
Rfam family: Bacterial small subunit ribosomal RNA
Source: RNAcentral
GACGAACGCUGGCGGCGUGCUUAACACAUGCAAGUCGAACGGAAAGGCCCUGCUUUUGUGGGGUGCUCGAGUGGCGAACGGGUGAGUAACACGUGAGUAACCUGCCCUUGACUUUGGGAUAACUUCAGGAAACUGGGGCUAAUACCGGAUAGGAGCUCCUGCUGCAUGGUGGGGGUUGGAAAGUUUCGGCGGUUGGGGAUGGACUCGCGGCUUAUCAGCUUGUUGGUGGGGUAGUGGCUUACCAAGGCUUUGACGGGUAGCCGGCCUGAGAGGGUGACCGGCCACAUUGAGACUGAGAUUAUGCCCAGACUCCUACGGGAGGCAUCGGUGGGGAAUAUUGCACAAUGUGCGGAAGCCAGAUGCAGCAACGUCGCGUGCGGAAUGACGGCCUUCGGGUUGUAAACCGCUUUCGCCUGUGACGAAGCGUGAGGGACGGUAAUGGGUAAAGAAGCACCGGCUAACUACGUG